GGCCUCCUGGUGCCUACCACUGGCAGUGCUAUUACACUGUGAAGAAAAAGAAAGCAGACUACCCCCUAUACACCUCACCUCACCCCAGGCCCUGUGCCUGGUCUGUAUGUGAAUGGGGGAGAUGUAG
Small nucleolar RNA from Heterocephalus glaber (naked mole-rat), 127 nucleotides. The record is from Ensembl. NCBI's taxonomy places the organism in Eukaryota, Metazoa, Chordata, Mammalia, Rodentia, Bathyergidae.